GUGGGGAAUUUUGGACAAUGGGCGCAAGCCUGAUCCAGCAAUGCCGCGUGCAGGAAGAAGGCCUUCGGGUUGUAAACUGCUUUUGUACGGAACGAAACGGUCCUGGUUAAUACCCGGGGCUAAUGACGGUACCGUAAGAAUAAGCACCGGCUAACUACGUGCCAGCAGCCGCGGUAAUACGUAGGGUGCAAGCGUUAAUCGGAAUUACUGGGCGUAAAGCGUGCGCAGGCGGUGCUGUAAGACAGGCGUGAAAUCCCCGGGCUUAACCUGGGAAUUGCGCUUGUGACUGCAGUGCUGGAGUGCGGCAGAGGGGGAUGGAAUUCCGCGUGUAGCAGUGAAAUGCGUAGAUAUGCGGAGGAACACCGAUGGCGAAGGCAAUCCCCUGGGCCUGCACUGACGCUCAUGCACGAAAGCGUGGGGAGCAAAUAGGAUUAGAAACCCCGGUAGUCC
This 450-nucleotide ribosomal RNA is filed under the name uncultured bacterium. Its description in RNAcentral is "partial 16S ribosomal RNA". It matches the Rfam family "Bacterial small subunit ribosomal RNA", at positions 354 to 796 of the family's 1533-position model. The record is from RNAcentral.